CGUCAACGGCAGACAAACUAAAUCAAUCACAAAAUCUCUACCAAACAUAGAUAUAGGACACCGCAGACAAACAAGAGAAGUGGUUACUGAACCCUUAGCUGGAGUUUCAACAACCAUUUCCCCUUUCAUAUCAGAUACAUCCAAACCCAACUUAUAAGCACAUUCAAUAGCAAUAAAACAAUGAGUAGCACCAGUAUCAAUAAUAGCAAUUAAAGGAGUACUAUUAAAGAAACAAGUACCUCUGAUAAGUCGGUCCUCAUU
RNAcentral lists this long non-coding RNA (261 nucleotides) under Medicago truncatula (barrel medic). RNAcentral's name for it is "long non-coding RNA (MTRU_LNC007933)". The record is from RNAcentral. Lineage: Eukaryota; Viridiplantae; Streptophyta; Magnoliopsida; Fabales; Fabaceae.